Molecule: non-coding RNA, 24 nt
Filed under: Cricetulus griseus (Chinese hamster)
Lineage: Eukaryota; Metazoa; Chordata; Mammalia; Rodentia; Cricetidae
Source: RNAcentral
UACUUGAUGUAAUAAAGCUUAUUU